Molecule: ribosomal RNA, 528 nt
Filed under: uncultured eukaryote
Lineage: Eukaryota
Description: SSU rRNA
Rfam family: Eukaryotic small subunit ribosomal RNA
Source: RNAcentral
UAGCAUAUGCUUGUCUCAAAGAUUAAGCCAUGCAUGUCUAAGUAUAAACAACUUUGUACUGUGAAACUGCGAAUGGCUCAUUAAAUCAGUUAUAGUUUAUUUGAUGUUACCUUGCUACAUGGAUAACUGUGGUAAUUCUAGAGCUAAUACAUGCAAUCAAGCCCCGACUUCCGGAAGGGGUGUAUUUAUUAGAUAAAAAACCAACGCGGCUCGCCGCUCAUUUGGUGAUUCAUAAUAACUUCUCGAAUCGCAUGGCCUUGUGCUGGCGAUGCUUCAUUCAAAUAUCUGCCCUAUCAACUUUCGAUGGUAGGAUAGUGGCCUACCAUGGUUUCAACGGGUAACGGGGAAUAAGGGUUCGAUUCCGGAGAGGGAGCCUGAGAAACGGCUACCACAUCCAUGGAAGGCAGCAGGCGCGCAAAUUACCCAAUCCCGACACGGGGAGGUAGUGACAAUAAAUAACGAUAUAGGGCUCUUUAGGGUCUUAUAAUUGGAAUGAGUACAAUUCAAAUCUCUUAACGAGGAACAAUU